GAAACUUAAAGGAAUUGGCGGGGGAGCACAGCAACGGGAGGAGCGUGCGGUUUAAUUGGAUUCAGCGCCGGAAAACUCACCGGAGGCGACGGUUACAUGAAGGCCAGGCUGAUGACCUUGCCUGAUUUUCCGAGAGGUGGUGCAUGGCCGCCGUCAGUUCGUACCGUAAGGCGUUCUGUUAAGUCAGAUAACGAACGAGACCCUCAUCCUUAAUUGCUACUAAUGACCUCGGUUGUUAGGCACAUUAAGGAGACCGCUGACGAUAAGUCAGAGGAAGGCGAGGGCAACGGUAGGUCAGUAUGCCCUGAAUCCUCCGGGCUACACGCGCGCUACAAAGGCCAGGACAAUGGGUUUCGACACCGAAAGGUGGAGGUAAUCCCGAAACCUGGUCAUAGUUCGGAUUGAGGGCUGAAACUCGCCCUCAUGAAGCUGGAUUCCGUAGUAAUCGCGGAUCAACAUCCCGCGGUGAAUAUGCCCCUGCUCCUUGCACACACCGCCCGUCAAACCAUGCGAGUUGGGUUCAAGUGAGGAUGUAGUAUUUUGCUGCGUUCAAACUUGGGCUUAGCAAGCGGGGUUAAGUCGUAACAA
Molecule: ribosomal RNA, 588 nt
Filed under: uncultured euryarchaeote
Lineage: Archaea; Methanobacteriati; Methanobacteriota
Description: bacterial SSU rRNA
Rfam family: Archaeal small subunit ribosomal RNA
Source: RNAcentral